CCGUCUGAACAGAGCCUUUACCGAAUGAUUUUUCACCCAAAAUGAUUGCUCUGUGAUGAUCUUGCAAAGCACCUGCCACAAUUUCCGAGGCUGACGCCGAUCCUUCAUUGAUAAUCACCACAAUCGGCAAACCGUUUGUAAUAUCGCCCGAAUGUGCCGUAUAUUUGACAUUGUCUUCAAUGUUACGCGCACGGGUCGACACGAUUUCCCCUUCGCUUAAAAACAAAUCCGACACCGCAACAGCCUGAUCAAGCAAACCACCCGGAUUGUUU
RNAcentral lists this non-coding RNA (272 nucleotides) under bovine gut metagenome. The record is from RNAcentral.